GAGUUUGAUCGUGGCUCAGGACGAACGCUGGCGGCGUGCUUAACACAUGCAAGUCGAACGGUGACGACAGGGCUUGCCUUGUCUGAUCAGUGGCGAACGGGUGAGUAACACGUGAGUAACCUGCCCCUGACUCUGGGAUAACCCCGGGAAACCGGAGCUAAUACCGGAUACGACACGCCUCCGCAUGGGGAGCGUGUGGAAAGUUUUUCGGUCUGGGAUGGACUCGCGGCCUAUCAGCUUGUUGGUGAGGUAAUGGCUCACCAAGGCGACGACGGGUAGCCGGCCUGAGAGGGCGACCGGCCACACUGGGACUGAGACACGGCCCAGACUCCUACGGGGGCAGCAGUGGGGAAUAUUGCACAAUGGGCGAAAGCCUGAUGCAGCGACGCCGCGUGAGGGAUGACGGCCUCGGUUGUAAC
This 419-nucleotide ribosomal RNA is filed under the name uncultured Actinomycetes bacterium. Its description in RNAcentral is "bacterial SSU rRNA". It matches the Rfam family "Bacterial small subunit ribosomal RNA", at positions 9 to 429 of the family's 1533-position model. The record is from RNAcentral. Lineage: Bacteria; Bacillati; Actinomycetota; Actinomycetes.